UUCUCCAAGAAACCAUAGCACAUAUAGCCUGAGAACUCACAUCAAGCUGAAGCUGGGAUUCCAAGAGGCACUGGCACAGGGCUCACAAUGCACAGCAAUCAAAUGUCAACCUGAAGGGUCUCCCAUUCAGAUAGACGCACCCUAGGACAAUGAGCUAACUGCUGCCCGAGGAACCCGUUCAAUCAGGAAACAAUGAGUAUGGUGGCAAAACUGAUUAUGUGUCUUGCAACAGUUUCCCUUGGGCCUUCACAAGGACUGGAAGCCAUGCUGUGAUCACAGGGGAGAUGGUGGAGUUGAUCAGGUGUAUGGUCCCAAGAGUCAUAAAGGAACACAAACCGGAACAGCAAAUGAACAGGACCUGCUGUCCAAGGGGUCUCCAAUCCCUGUGGAAGAGUUGGAAAGAUUUUGGUCUCCUAGAGCCCCAUAAAACUGAUGGAUGACCUCUGGGCCUGGAACGAACAGCCUCUCAACUUUAUUCCAACUUUAAAAGCAUCGUAGAGAAGGGGAGUGGAGAAUGAAAAUCCCUUUGCUGCAGCACUGUCAGCCCCUUAGUUUUCCUUCAAGUCUGACAGGCCCAGGAUGAAAGGUUUGGUGACAGCGGCCUGACAGUGCACAUCAACAGCUUUGAAUGUCUUAACAACCCAGCUACUGGAGAUGCAUUCCGAAGAAUCUGUGAACUGCUUUUCCCCUUUAGAGCUCUUGCUAGCCCAUGUUGUCCAGUGAAAUCUUUUGUAGUUAAAAAUGUGUAGAACUUUUUUUUAAUGCCUGUGUGCAUACGAACACAAAAUGCUUUAAUCCAUUUCCUUGGUUUUUUUUUUUAUGUCUGGCUUUCCUUGAAUUGCGUUUCUGCCUUAAAAGUUUCCUUCUUAGACAACAUGGUGAAUUUUUAUCCUUUAAUUUUAUUUUAAAGCCAUAACUCCACUCAGUUGAGCUAAACUGAUCUACUCCAGCUGAGGAUCUGGCCAUAUGUAUGAGACAUGCAAAAUGAGUUUUUAGUCAAAGGAAAAGGAAUCUAUGAUCACACAGCACUCCAGUUCUUGGAAUUUGCAUCAUAAAAUAUAAUUCACUAGCCAUUACAUUUGCAUAUGUCUUGAACUGAUGGUCAUUGAUUGCAAUAACCAUGGUAUGUCAUUAUUUGUGAUACAAAAUAAUUAAGUUUACAUGGUGUGUCCAGUCAUUGGCAGGAGUGUAGAUAUGUUUCUAUUGCUUCAGUUUCCAGGCAGCAAACACAGUUUGAUUAAUUGAUUUAGUAGGGAAUUUUUGUAGUGUCAUAGGUAAUAUCUAGAAAUAACGGAGUAGCUCUGAAAUCUGAAGGUUCAUUCGACUGAGUACCUCAGAUCUGGAUGUUUUCUCCACUUUUGGAUCUGCAGAAUUGAAGUGGAAAAUCUCAUGAGAAGAAGGAUUUCUUACU
Long non-coding RNA from Mauremys mutica (yellowpond turtle), 1411 nucleotides. RefSeq lists it as uncharacterized. The record is from RefSeq and is a predicted model, not a curated record. The transcript has 6 exons. NCBI's taxonomy places the organism in Eukaryota, Metazoa, Chordata, Testudines, Geoemydidae.